This 369-nucleotide ribosomal RNA is filed under the name uncultured organism. RNAcentral describes it as "bacterial SSU rRNA". It matches the Rfam family "Bacterial small subunit ribosomal RNA", at positions 526 to 896 of the family's 1533-position model. The record is from RNAcentral.
CGUAGGGUGCGAGCGUUAAUCGGAAUUACUGGGCGUAAAGCGUGCGCAGGCGGUUUGUAAGACAGAUGUGAAAUCCCCGGGCUCAACCUGGGACCUGCAUUUGUGACUGCAAGGCUAGAGUACGGUAGAGGGGGAUGGAAUUCCGCGUGUAGCAGUGAAAUGCGUAGAUAUGCGGAGGAACACCGAUGGCGAAGGCAAUCCCCUGGACCUGUAUUGACGCUCAUGCACGAAAGCGUGGGGAGCAAACAGGAUUAGAUACCCUGGUAGUCCACGCCCUAAACGAUGUCAACUGGUUGUUGGGUCUUUACUGACUCAGUAACGAAGCUAACGCGUGAAGUUGACCGCCUGGGGAGUACGGCCGCAAGGUUG